Molecule: ribosomal RNA, 329 nt
Filed under: uncultured eukaryote
Lineage: Eukaryota
Description: partial 18S ribosomal RNA
Rfam family: Eukaryotic small subunit ribosomal RNA
Source: RNAcentral
CCCUUAGAUGUCCUGGGCCGCACGCGCGCUACACUGAUGCAUUCAACGAGUCUAAAACCUGCUCUGAUAGGGGUGGGUAAUCUUUUGAAUGUGCAUCGUGAUUGGGAUAGAUGAUUGCAAUUUUUCAUCUUCAACGAGGAAUGCCUAGUAAACGCAAGUCAUCAGCUUGCAUUGAUUACGUCCCUGCCCUUUGUACACACCGCCCGUCGCUCCUACCGAUUGAAUGAUCCGAUGAAUAUCAUGGAUUGAGGAUGCAAGUAGGUUCGCCUAUCUUCAUCUUCGAGAAGUGAAGUAAAUCUUAUCAUUUAGAGGAAGGAGAAGUCGUAACA